This 403-nucleotide long non-coding RNA is filed under the name Malus domestica (apple). Its description in RNAcentral is "long non-coding RNA (MDOM_LNC008197)". The record is from RNAcentral. Lineage: Eukaryota; Viridiplantae; Streptophyta; Magnoliopsida; Rosales; Rosaceae.
AUUACCAAAAUAUCCCUAACUUUAAACGUUAAUAUCUCCUUUGUUAUAACUCUAAAUUACGUUCCGGUUGCGCCCACGCGUUCGUAAUGACAAAUACUACGAGGAUACGUCAAGAAAAUAGAUCUUACAUGACACGACAAGGUGGUCAAACAAAAUCAACGCAUUUUCCUUGAAUGGCAUUUUCGUACAUUCACUUAUUAAAAUUAUAAAAAAAAAAACCGUAAAAUUGGAAACGGGUCGUUACAAUAUCAUUGCCCGGAGGCAGAACAGUGACCACUAAAUAUGCACAAAACAUUGAAUAUAGUUUUUCCAAACAUAGGUAUAUAUAUAUCUCAAAAACAUCUUCUUAGUAUAAAGUCAUCCAUCAUCUAUACGAUAAAGAAGUGUGUAAAAACAUGUUCUA